This 466-nucleotide ribosomal RNA is filed under the name uncultured bacterium. Its description in RNAcentral is "partial 16S ribosomal RNA". It matches the Rfam family "Bacterial small subunit ribosomal RNA", at positions 28 to 507 of the family's 1533-position model. The record is from RNAcentral.
GAUGAACGCUGGCGGCGUGCUUAACACAUGCAAGUCGAACGAUGAAGCCCAGCUUGCUGGGUGGAUUAGUGGCGAACGGGUGAGUAACACGUGAGUAACCUGCCCUUAACUCUGGGAUAAGCCUGGUAAACUGGGUCUAAUACCGGAUAGGAGCGUCCACCGCAUGGUGGGUGUUGGAAAGAUUUAUCGGUUUUGGAUGGACUCGCGGCCUAUCAGCUUGUUGGUGAGGUAAUGGCUCACCAAGGCGACGACGGGUAGCCGGCCUGAGAGGGUGACCGGCCACAAUGGGACUGAGACACGGCCCAGACUCCUACGGGAGGCAGCAGUGGGGAAUAUUGCACAAUGGGCGCAAGCCUGAUGCAGCGACGCCGCGUGAGGGAUGACGGCCUUCGGGUUGUAAACCUCUUUCAGUAGGGAAGAAGCGAAAGUGGCGGUACCUGCAGAAGAAGCACCGGCUAACUACGUG